UAAACGAACAAACUCUUCUUAGAGCAUUCCCAUCGGUGGGAUCUGUUUUAUUUUCUAAUAAUAAAAUGGAAUAAAAAUAAAGUUUUAAUCAUUUUAUUUCUUCGAACCGUGUCUCUGCGCUGAUGAAAUUAGAUACUGAGAGACCCACAACGUGUCAAAAUUCUAUUGAUUGCGUUUGGUUUUUUUUUUUUUCUCUUUUAUUUUUUCUGCAUUUGCCUCUCUUUCCCUUUUGACACAAACAAAAAUUCGAAAGCAAAAAUCGAUUUUUCAAAAUCUGAUUCACAACCUAAUCGAAGUUCCCAUCGAUCUCGAAGCUCGUUUUAGUUUAUAGGCUUCAAUCUCUGAAUCUGCGUUAGAAAAGCUAAGCAAGAGCAAUCAAUUCCAUGGCGUUAUGUUCUACAUUAUAUCUUUUUCUUCUUUUUUUUUUGGGGUCUGCAUAUGGACUUGCUCUGCUUCUAGGGAGUGAUGAUGGUGUUCAACCUCCGAAGAAUAACAAAAUUAGGACUUGUCAAGUUGGACAUGAGGAAUUUAGUGGUUUGAGUUUUCAAAUGCUUCACGUUCUAAUUUUCUGAGUCGUAGGCUCUAGGAAGGUUGCUUCAGCCUAAGUGUGUGUUUCAGCUCAUCUGAGCUUGGUUGUUCCAAUGGGAUUUGGAUUCGGCUGAAGAGUUGAUCAAACUGGACCCUGAGUCGAACUGUCUUUAAAUUCAGGAUUUGGAUUCGCCACCAAUUAUGGAGGAAGAUGAAAUCAAAUCGGUUCCGGUUAACGAAGAGAGAGCUAUUGUUCUUUAUAAUCCUCUCCAGCAUUAUCAUCAACCUCCUCACCUUUUUGUUGAUACAGACUUGGUUUUAGGGCUCAAGAAUAUGUUUUUGCGUUCUUCGGCAUCCCUUUAAUUUUGUUGUAACCUCUCCAGUGUGUUUUUAAAUCAGAGACGUCUGCUCCUUGGUGCCACCAUCGCUUGUCCUAAAGUUGAUGCUUUCACCGCUGCUUCUCAGAGAAGAUAUGUUUUUGCGUGAUGCUGGGACCCAUCCCAGUUCCAGUCCUUUGAGGAACCGUCUGCGCCAAAGAUUACUGAGUUGGAUGGUGAGGAUGAGAUGAGAUGAUGGAGGAAGCAGCCAUGGAUGUGGAAGAAGCAUCGCUGCCACCGCAGCAGCCGCAACUCGUGGGAGGGUUGUAUCAGUGGCAACAGCAGCAACAACUUCAUUGUAUGGUACCACAACUUCCCCAAAUCAACUCUACUCCUAUCUCUACUUCCACAACUUCUUCUUUUUAAACCACACUUUUUUAGUAUUGUAAUUUAUGUUUUAAUGUUUUUAUAUUGUAAUAUAUUUGUUUUUUUAUACAGUUUCUAGUUUUAUUUUUCUAAUAUUGCAUAGAUUAUAUAACCAACAUGUAUAACAUUAUAAAAUAUACUUUAAACACAUUUUUAAUAAAAAUUAUAUAAGACA
Long non-coding RNA from Camelina sativa (false flax), 1446 nucleotides. RefSeq lists it as uncharacterized. Lineage: Eukaryota; Viridiplantae; Streptophyta; Magnoliopsida; Brassicales; Brassicaceae. The record is from RefSeq and is a predicted model, not a curated record.